GUGCCCUAACAGGACACACAGCAAUCUCCCUCUUAGUUUAGGAAAGUCUCCUUAAGAAUAGGGCUUUUAAAGGCAUAAGAGGAUAGU
Nannospalax galili (Upper Galilee mountains blind mole rat) is the source of this 87-nucleotide non-coding RNA. RefSeq annotates it as small Cajal body-specific RNA 11. The record is from RefSeq and is a predicted model, not a curated record. Lineage: Eukaryota; Metazoa; Chordata; Mammalia; Rodentia; Spalacidae. The transcript has a single exon.